This 433-nucleotide ribosomal RNA is filed under the name uncultured organism. RNAcentral describes it as "bacterial SSU rRNA". It matches the Rfam family "Bacterial small subunit ribosomal RNA", at positions 346 to 794 of the family's 1533-position model. The record is from RNAcentral.
GCGCAGCAGGCGCGAAUUUUCACAAUGGGGGAAACCCUGAUGGAGCGACGCCGCGUGGAGGAUGAAGGCGUUUUCGUCGUAAACUCCUGUCAAACGGGAACAAGAAAGUGAUAGUACCGUUAGAGGAAGAGGCGGCUAACUCUGUGCCAGCAGCCGCGGUAAUACAGAGGCCUCAAGCGUUGUUCGGAUUCAUUGGGCGUAAAGGGUGCGUAGGUGGCUUGGUAAGUUGAAGGUGAAAUCUCGGGGCUUAACUCCGAAACUGCCUUCAAUACUGCCGAGCUCGAGGAUUGUAGAGGAGAAUGGAAUUCACGGUGUAGCAGUGAAAUGCGUAGAUAUCGUGAGGAAGACCAGUGGCGAAGGCGAUUCUCUGGGCAAUUCCUGACACUGAGGCACGAAGGCUAGGGGAGCAAACGGGAUUAGAUACCCGCGUAGU